CCGUUGUCCGACACGAUGGUGCCAAAGCUCUCAGCACUCUUGGUCCAGGCGUUAGGAUCCCAUUGGAACUUCAUGUCACCCUGGGGCUUCACCGGGUCUACGAUCAUCUUGAGGGCGCGCUGGAGCUGAAAGUGGAUCAGUUUCUUGGAGAGGAGCAGCGCAGUGCUGUUUUCGCUCUCCAGGGCCCAGGAGGUGAAACGCAUGACGUGCUCCUGGUGCCUCUGCAGCUUGGUCAUGGCCCAGUGCUGCCGUUCCAGCUUCUCCUGCUGCCCCUCCG
RNAcentral lists this long non-coding RNA (277 nucleotides) under Gallus gallus (chicken). Lineage: Eukaryota; Metazoa; Chordata; Aves; Galliformes; Phasianidae. The record is from RNAcentral.